CCCUUAGAUGUCCUGGGCUGCACGCGCGCUACACUGAUGUGUCCAGUAAGCACCUAACCUCUUCCGAAAGGAACGGGUAACCUUUGCAAAGCACAUCGUGAUGGGGAUAGAUUAUUGCAAUUAUUAGUCUUGAACGAGGAAUUCCUAGUAAGCACAAGUCAUCAGCUUGUGGUGAUUACGUCCCUGCCCUUUGUACACACCGCCCGUCGCUCCUACCGAUUGAAUGUUCCGGUGAGCUCUUCGGACUGCGCGGUCUGCAGUUUCUGCGUUCCGUGCGGAAAGUUGCGCAAACCUUAACAUUUAGAGGAAGGAGAAGUCGUAACA
RNAcentral lists this ribosomal RNA (324 nucleotides) under uncultured eukaryote. RNAcentral's name for it is "partial 18S ribosomal RNA". It matches the Rfam family "Eukaryotic small subunit ribosomal RNA", at positions 1470 to 1796 of the family's 1831-position model. The record is from RNAcentral.